RNAcentral lists this ribosomal RNA (568 nucleotides) under uncultured Bifidobacterium sp. Its description in RNAcentral is "bacterial SSU rRNA". It matches the Rfam family "Bacterial small subunit ribosomal RNA", at positions 146 to 711 of the family's 1533-position model. The record is from RNAcentral. Lineage: Bacteria; Bacillati; Actinomycetota; Actinomycetes; Bifidobacteriales; Bifidobacteriaceae.
UCUCCUGGAAACGGGUGGUAAUGCCGGAUGUUCCACAUGAGCGCAUGCGAGUGUGGGAAAGGCUUUUUGCGGCAUGGGAUGGGGUCGCGUCCUAUCAGCUUGUUGGUGGGGUAACGGCCUACCAAGGCGUUGACGGGUAGCCGGCCUGAGAGGGCGACCGGCCACAUUGGGACUGAGAUACGGCCCAGACUCCUACGGGAGGCAGCAGUGGGGAAUAUUGCACAAUGGGCGCAAGCCUGAUGCAGCGACGCCGCGUGCGGGAUGGAGGCCUUCGGGUUGUAAACCGCUUUUGUUCAAGGGCAAGGCACGGUUUCGGCCGUGUUGAGUGGAUUGUUCGAAUAAGCACCGGCUAACUACGUGCCAGCAGCCGCGGUAAUACGUAGGGUGCAAGCGUUAUCCGGAUUUAUUGGGCGUAAAGGGCUCGUAGGCGGUUCGUCGCGUCCGGGUGUGGAAGUCCAUCGCUUAACGGUGGAUCCGCGCCGGGUACGGGCGGGCUUGAGUGCGGUAGGGGAGACUGGAAAUUCCCGGUGUAACGGUGGAAUGUGUAGAUUAUUCGGGAUGAACACCU